UGGGGAAUCUUGCACAAUGGGCGAAAGCCUGAUGCAGCGACGCCGCGUGCGGGAUGAAGGCCUUCGGGUUGUAAACCGCUUUCAGCAGGGACGAGGCCGCAAGGUGACGGUACCUGCAGAAGAAGCCCCGGCUAACUACGUGCCAGCAGCCGCGGUAAUACGUAUGUUGCGAGCGUUAUCCGGAAUUAUUGGGCUUAAAGGGCAUCUAGGCGGUAAGACAAGUUGAAGGUGAAAACCUGUGGCUCAACCAUAGGCUUGCCUACAAAACUGUUGAACUAGAGUACUGGAAAGGUGGGUGGAACUACACGAGUAGAGGUGAAAUUCGUAGAUAUGUGUAGGAAUGCCGAUGAUGAAGAUAACUCACUGGACAGAAACUGACGCUGAAGUGCGAAAGCUAGGGGAGCAAACAGG
Molecule: ribosomal RNA, 411 nt
Filed under: Verrucomicrobiota bacterium
Lineage: Bacteria; Pseudomonadati; Verrucomicrobiota
Description: Verrucomicrobia bacterium partial 16S ribosomal RNA
Rfam family: Bacterial small subunit ribosomal RNA
Source: RNAcentral